GAGCACGCAAUGGAACCCGGGGCCUUCAGACCUCACGAUACCUGAUCUUACUGGUUGCUGGCAAAUUAAAAGCUUGUGGGGUUUUGUUUUGUUUAUACUUCGUGAGGUCAAAAAAGUAGCAAUGGGGAAGGCUGGGGAUACGGUAAUUCCUCAGAGUUUCUAUGCCCAGAGAUACUUUCUCUUCAAACAGUAGACCAGAGCAGCUACUUGUAACCCAGGCCCCAUCGGGUAGGAAGGUCCUUUCCCUGUGAGUCCCACUAAAACGUGUUGGGAACAAUAGGUUCUUUGCCCAUCCGAACAAGAACUAGGGUACUCCCUCAGUCCGACUUAAUGAGAAUUAAUUUCCUAGAGGUUCAGCUUGAGUCGGUAACAGAUUUUGAGCCAUACAUGUGAAAAUGGCAAAUACAUGAUUAAGUUUCAAUUCUGAGAGGGAAUGUUUGGUAGAAAUUGCUCACCUUUGGUUAUGCAAGGGAUUAGAGAUGUGAAUAGGGUGGUAUGUUGUGUUCUUUGACAUUUUAAUAAACUGUCACUUUCCCUGUUGUCUCUUAA
RNAcentral lists this small RNA (549 nucleotides) under Pongo abelii (Sumatran orangutan). Its description in RNAcentral is "sense intronic". Lineage: Eukaryota; Metazoa; Chordata; Mammalia; Primates; Hominidae. The record is from RNAcentral.